GCAACGCGUGACGACACUAAAAUGGCUGCGGGGUUUGUGUUCCCUAGCAUGCAAACUUCUGUAAAAUUUUACAACGUUACAGAGCUAUAUUUUCGCCUGUAAUAUAUCACUCUCAAACCUGCACUACUAAAUCAAGCAGGACUGCAGCAGCAGCACCACCAUUCGUCUCGACGCUGACUUUCCUACCGUCUACAUCUCCACUCUCAGGAUCUUGCCACAACAAACAGAACGCUUGAGACAGGGUGAGUUUUUGCUCACGAAUUUCGUCUUUGUCAAAGUGUUCCGAAUUAAUGACUGCCAAGACGGCUUUUGCCAUCUCCUUCGCUGUUAAAUCUACUCGGACACCGUAAGAUGAGGCAGCUGCUGAUCCUCCACUGUAUGCCAUAUUGACGAUCGAUAAUUCAAAGGGACUAAGAUGUUUUCAACUCUCAAUUCUCUCUGAUUAAAAGAUUUAGGUUUGGCUUGGC
Molecule: long non-coding RNA, 467 nt
Organism: Actinia tenebrosa (Australian red waratah sea anemone)
Lineage: Eukaryota; Metazoa; Cnidaria; Anthozoa; Actiniaria; Actiniidae
Source: RefSeq, a predicted model, not a curated record